This 106-nucleotide non-coding RNA is filed under the name uncultured Nosocomiicoccus sp. RNAcentral describes it as "SAM riboswitch (S box leader)". It matches the Rfam family "SAM riboswitch aptamer (S box leader)". Rfam says of the family: The SAM riboswitch is found upstream of a number of genes which code for proteins involved in methionine or cysteine biosynthesis in Gram-positive bacteria. The SAM riboswitch acts at the level of transcription termination control. The record is from RNAcentral. Lineage: Bacteria; Bacillati; Bacillota; Bacilli; Caryophanales; Staphylococcaceae.
UCUUAUCCAGAGUGGUGGAGGGAAGUGCCCGAUAAAGCCACGGCAACCGUCUAAUUUAGACAAGGUGCUAAUUCACUGAAUGGUCAUUGGAUCAUUCGAAGAUGAG